This 408-nucleotide ribosomal RNA is filed under the name uncultured bacterium. RNAcentral describes it as "partial 16S ribosomal RNA". It matches the Rfam family "Bacterial small subunit ribosomal RNA", at positions 28 to 526 of the family's 1533-position model. The record is from RNAcentral.
GACGAACGCUGGCGGCGUGCUUAACACAUGCAAGUCGAACGAAGUGGCGAACGGGUGAGUAACGCGUAAUCAACCUGCCCUUCAGAGGGGGCCAACAGUUGGAACCGACUGCUAAUACCGCAUACUGUAGGAGGGGAUUGCGUCUGAUUAGCUAGUUGGAGGGGUAACGGCCCAACAAGGCGAUGAUCAGUAGACGGGCUGGGAGGAUGAACGGCCCAAUCGGGACUGAGACAAGGGCCAGACUCCUAAGGGAGGCAGCAGGGGGGAAUCUUCCGCAAUGGAGGAAAGGCUGACGGAGCAACGGCGCGUGAGGGAUGACGGCCUUCGGGUUGUAAAGCUCUGUUAAGCGGGACGCGGUACCGGAAUAGAAAGCAACGGCUAACUACGUGCCAGCAGCCGCGGUAAUAC